Molecule: ribosomal RNA, 497 nt
Filed under: uncultured bacterium
Lineage: Bacteria
Description: partial 16S ribosomal RNA
Rfam family: Bacterial small subunit ribosomal RNA
Source: RNAcentral
GAUGAACGCUGGCGGCGUGCCUAAUACAUGCAAGUCGAGCGAACGGACGAGACUCUUGCUUCUCUGAUGUUAGCGGCGGACGUGUGAGUAACACGUGGAUAACCUACCUAUAAGACUGGUAUAACUUCGGGAAACCGGAUCUAAUCCCGUAUAAUCUUUUGAUCCGCAUGGUUCAUAAGUGAAAUACGGUCUUGCUGUCACUUAUAGAUGGAUCCGCGCUGCAUUAGCUAGUUGGUAAGGUAACGGCUUACCACGGCAACGAUGCAUAGCCGAACUGAGAGAGUGAUAGGCCACACUGGAACUGAGACACGGACAAGACGACUAAGGGAGGCAGCAGAAGGGAAUGUGCCGCAAUGGGCGAAAGCCUGACGGAGCAACGCGGAGUGAGAGAUGAAGGUCUUGGGAUCGUAAAAAUCUGUUAUUAGGGAAGAACAGAUGUGUAAGGAACUGUGCACAGAGUGACGGUAACGAAUCAGAAAGCCACGGCUAACUACGUG